GCGCGAAAACUUUACAAUGCUGGCAACAGCGAUAAGGGAACCUCGAGUGCCAGGUUACAAAUCUGGCUGUCGAGAUGCCUAAAAAAGCAUUUCAUAGCAAGGGCCGGGCAAGACCGGUGCCAGCCGCCGCGGUAACACCGGCGGCUCGAGUGGUAACCGUUAUUAUUGGGUCUAAAGGGUCUGUAGCCGGCCGGAUAAGUCUCUUGAGAAAUCUGGCAGCUUAACUGUCAGGCUUUCAGGAGAUACUGUCUGGCUCGAGGCCGGGAGAGGUGAGAGGUACUUCGAGGGGUAGGGGUGAAAUCUUGGUAAUCCUUGAAGGACCACCAGUGGCGAAGGCGUCUCACCAGAACGGACCUGACGGCAAAGGGCGAAAGCUAGGGGCACGAACCGGAUUAGAAA
This 399-nucleotide ribosomal RNA is filed under the name uncultured bacterium. RNAcentral describes it as "bacterial SSU rRNA". It matches the Rfam family "Archaeal small subunit ribosomal RNA", at positions 339 to 735 of the family's 1478-position model. The record is from RNAcentral.